This 473-nucleotide ribosomal RNA is filed under the name uncultured bacterium. RNAcentral's name for it is "bacterial SSU rRNA". It matches the Rfam family "Bacterial small subunit ribosomal RNA", at positions 325 to 793 of the family's 1533-position model. The record is from RNAcentral.
CACUGUCACUCCUACGGGGAGGCAGCAGUGGGGAAUAUUGCACAAUGGGCGCAAGCCUGAUGCAGCCAUGCCGCGUGUGUGAAGAAGGCCUUCGGGUUGUAAAGCACUUUCAGUCAGAGGAAAGGUUAGUAGUUAAUACCUGCUAGCUGUGACGUUACUGACAGAAGAAGCACCGGCUAACUCCGUGCCAGCAGCCGCGGUAAUACGGAGGGUGCGAGCGUUAAUCGGAAUUACUGGGCGUAAAGCGUACGCAGGCGGUUUGUUAAGCGAGAUGUGAAAGCCCCGGGCUUAACCUGGGAACUGCAUUUCGAACUGGCAAACUAGAGUGUGAUAGAGGGUGGUAGAAUUUCAGGUGUAGCGGUGAAAUGCGUAGAGAUCUGAAGGAAUACCGAUGGCGAAGGCAGCCACCUGGGUCAACACUGACGCUCAUGUACGAAAGCGUGGGGAGCAAACAGGAUUAGAUACCCUGGUAG